CCUACGGGAGGCAGCAGUGAGGAAUAUUGGUCAAUGGACGAGAGUCUGAACCAGCCAAGUAGCGUGAAGGAUGACUGCCCUAUGGGUUGUAAACUUCUUUUAUAUGGGAAUAAAAUGUUCCACGUGUGGGAUUUUGUAUGUACCAUAUGAAUAAGGAUCGGCUAACUCCGUGCCAGCAGCCGCGGUAAUACGGAGGAUCCGAGCGUUAUCCGGAUUUAUUGGGUUUAAAGGGAGCGUAGGUGGAUUGUUAAGUCAGUUGUGAAAGUUUGCGGCUCAACCGUAAAAUUGCAGUUGAAACUGGCAGUCUUGAGUACAGUAGAGGUGGGCGGAAUUCGUGGUGUAGCGGUGAAAUGCUUAGAUAGCACGAGGAACUCCGAUUGCGAAGGCAGUUCACUGGACUGCAACUGACACUGAGGCUCGAAAGUGUGGGUAUCAAACAGGAUUAGAUACCCCAGUAGUC
Molecule: ribosomal RNA, 460 nt
Filed under: uncultured bacterium
Lineage: Bacteria
Description: partial 16S ribosomal RNA
Rfam family: Bacterial small subunit ribosomal RNA
Source: RNAcentral